RNAcentral lists this long non-coding RNA (498 nucleotides) under Nicotiana benthamiana. RNAcentral describes it as "long non-coding RNA (NBEN_LNC003060)". Lineage: Eukaryota; Viridiplantae; Streptophyta; Magnoliopsida; Solanales; Solanaceae. The record is from RNAcentral.
UCAAUUAAAAGCUGACACAUUUACAAGAUUCCAUCUUAUCUUGUUUGAUAGCAAAAUCGCCAUUCCCUGUCAUGGAGUUUGUCGAUUUCAUUUUCCUGGUUUAGCUCGAGUUCUCCAGCGAGUUUGGAGGUCGUCGAAGGUCGUUGUUCGAGGUUGUUUUAUGUUCGAGGUUGGUGUCGGUCUUCGGUUGAGGUUUUGUUUCCAGUCAUGUAGCAAAGUCAAGUUUUCUAAAAUAACAGAGGUCGAUUCUUCCCCUCUCUCUCGGUUUUAGUUUAUACUGUUCUUAUAUUGUGGUUGAAUGAAAAGAUUUGUGUGGAUCUUUACUUGCUUGUGGUAUCUUAAGGACAAAAUUUUGUUUUCAGUUGAAGUUGCAUUAUUUGAUCUGCUGCAUACCAGUAUUAGUACAAAAUUAAUCUUCAUCUAUGUUUAUGUUGAUGCAAAUGCUUAUAUUAAACCGUUAGCCUUGAAGAUAUUUAAAAUAGAAAGAAGGUUGGAUUG